CAUUUCGCCCCGAAACAUCCAAAUUCCAUCGUCCUCAACACAGACGCCACAACCACGAACACCCCCUCCCCCUGGCGGCUGGCCCCUACAGCGCGCCGCCUAUAGGUCCCUCCGCCCAGCAGUCGGCCCCUCCCCCAGCGCGCCGCCUACCGGCCCCUCCCCCAGCGCACCACCGACGGACCCCUCCCCCAGCACGUCGCCGACUGGCCCCUUCCCCAGUGGGCCGCCGUCCGAUGCCUCCCCCAGCGAGCCGCCGCCGGCCCCAUCUAGCCUAGUGCGCCACCGCCGGCCCCGUCCCCCAGUGCGUCGUCGAGCGCCCCAUGGACGGCGCAACUCCGGCUGCAACAUCCUGGUGGAGGCGCGGCGCCGUCUUUGAGAGGUUCCAUCAGCUGGUGCUCCUCCUCCUUCUGAUAUGCACGAGCUCCAAUUCGUGGAGAUGCUCCGUGGGGGUCCAGUCCCAUAUAUCUUUUAACCAGGUUCAUGGUGAAGCCUAGGGUGCUCGUCGGCGAUCACAAGAAGUGGGCCGUCGAGAAGGAGCUGGGCGACAUGGUGCAGCGGUGUGGCCAGUUCAACUACCUAUAUUAAACCAAUUGAAUAAAUGAGAUAAAAACAUUAGGUCACCUCAUCCGACACCAUCGUCUGGCAAUUCGUUUGGGUUGGUUUGCUGUGCAGUAUAGGCAAAGCAUGGCCACCACCAAUGCACUAUGUGGUUAAGAGUGACGGAAUUCAACUCAGACCAACACCUUGGUCAUCUUUCUGUUGCCUGGCAACGGGUGUGUACUUUAGACUAUUCCUAGCAAUGGUAACGAGCUGUUCAAUGUGGGGUUCGUGCAACAUAUAAUGCAAAGUAGAUUGGUGCAGGAA
Long non-coding RNA from Triticum aestivum (bread wheat), 864 nucleotides. RefSeq lists it as uncharacterized. Lineage: Eukaryota; Viridiplantae; Streptophyta; Magnoliopsida; Poales; Poaceae. The transcript is spliced from 2 exons. The record is from RefSeq and is a predicted model, not a curated record.